CACUAUGGCCAUACCACCCUGAACGUGCCUGAUCUCGUCUGAUCUCAGAAGCUAACCAGGGUUGGCCUGGUUAGUACUUGGAUGGAAUAUCCAUUCCAGAGUUAGAGAUACACUAA
Ribosomal RNA from Panthera pardus (leopard), 116 nucleotides. The record is from Ensembl. Lineage: Eukaryota; Metazoa; Chordata; Mammalia; Carnivora; Felidae.